GGCCACAUAGCCUAGUGGUUGAAGGCAGCACAUCUAGUGUUGUGUGAUAGCUUACAUGCUGAGGUCCUGGGUUCAAAUUCCAGUCUGGUCA
Cronartium quercuum f. sp. fusiforme G11 is the source of this 91-nucleotide non-coding RNA. Lineage: Eukaryota; Fungi; Basidiomycota; Pucciniomycetes; Pucciniales; Coleosporiaceae. The record is from the annotation of a GenBank genome assembly.